GUAGCUAAUACCGCAUAACGUCGCAAGACCAAAGAGGGGGACCUUCGGGCCUCUUGCCAUCGGAUGUGCCCAGAUGGGAUUAGCUAGUAGGUGGGGUAACGGCUCACCUAGGCGACGAUCCCUAGCUGGUCUGAGAGGAUGACCAGCCACACUGGAACUGAGACACGGUCCAGACUCCUACGGGAGGCAGCAGUGGGGAAUAUUGCACAAUGGGCGCAAGCCUGAUGCAGCCAUGCCGCGUGUAUGAAGAAGGCCUUCGGGUUGUAAAGUACUUUCAGCGGGGAGGAA
This 288-nucleotide ribosomal RNA is filed under the name Escherichia coli. RNAcentral's name for it is "partial 16S ribosomal RNA". It matches the Rfam family "Bacterial small subunit ribosomal RNA", at positions 159 to 449 of the family's 1533-position model. The record is from RNAcentral. Lineage: Bacteria; Pseudomonadati; Pseudomonadota; Gammaproteobacteria; Enterobacterales; Enterobacteriaceae. RNAcentral also lists the same sequence under 1 other name.